AUGGUCGGGAUGUACCAGAAGCAGCUCCUCGACGCCCCCUUCGCCCUAAACGGCCACUGCGCUGACCAGCCACGCCACGCGCCGGCCGCCGCCGCCGCCGCCCCCUCGCCGUAUCCGCCCAACCCCUCCUCCUCCUCCUCGGGCGCUGCGCCCUCGCCGCACGCGCAGGCGGAUGGCGCCGGCCAGCCCCGUCGGCUGUUCCAGGCGCUCGUCGGGGGGAUCCUGCAGCGCGGCGCCGGAGGCGGCAACAGCGCGGCUGGGGAUCUGGAGGCGCUGGUGUCGUGGGCGCGGGAGGUCGCCGUGGAUCCCUGCGCGAAGCGGCCGGCGGACAGGCCGAGGAAGCGGCAGGUGCUGGCCUUGCGGCGCGCGCGCUACCUCAAGAUGGAGGACGUGGCGGACCAGGCCGAACUCCCCAGCUUCUCCAAGAAAAGGAAGUACAAAACUAAGAACCAGUCAGAAAGACCAAGGAAAGGGCCAACCCCAACAAGGAAAUCCGAGAGGCUAGCUAGGAGAAUGGUACUCAUGACAUCAGUGCUUCUCACGCAAAGGAAAAAGAUUGGAGUUGGUGAGCAGUUUCAGGCUGAGAUACCUGACUGGACUGGGCCACCUUCAGAAGCAGAGCUUUCUUGGUACAGGAAUGACCCGAACACCUCAAAGAUGCUAGGAAGCAGAACUUGGCCACCUGAAGGUUAUGUCUUACAGACAAAUAUUGUGGUAGCUGGACAGGGAAGGCCUGAAUCAUGCAAUUGUCCAUAUCCAGGAAACUUCUAUUGCAGAUUACAUCACAUCAACACCGCCAGGGAUCGGCUAAGGUCUGAAAUUGGUCAAGUUUUCACGGAAUGGAAAUUUGAUUUGAUGGGUGAGCAGGUUUCUAAGAUGUGGAGUAUUGAGGAGCAACUAAAGUUUGCUGCACUUGAGCAGUUGGUUCCUGUGUUUGAAAAUAAGAGUUUUUGGGCGGUAGCGGCAAAACAUUUUGCCUCGAAGACCAGGGUGGACUUGGUGCAGUACUACCUCAAUGUUUUCCUCAUGAGAAGAGUUUCAAACCAGUGCAGGUUGAGUCUGUUGGAGAUUGAUAGUGAUGAGGAUGAAGCAGAGGAAGAGGAGGAUGAAGAUCAAUCUGAUGGCUCCAAUUCGUCCCAGAGGCCCCAGGAUGUCCAAGAGGUGAAGAAGAUUUUCUGA
Molecule: ribosomal RNA, 1179 nt
Filed under: Triticum aestivum (bread wheat)
Lineage: Eukaryota; Viridiplantae; Streptophyta; Magnoliopsida; Poales; Poaceae
Description: partial small subunit ribosomal RNA
Source: RNAcentral